CAGCAGCCACGGGAAUACGGAGGAUCCAAGCGUUAUCCGGAUUUAUUGGGUUUAAAGGGUGCGUAGGUGGCCUGUUAAGUCAGGGGUGAAAGACGGUAGCUCAACUAUCGCAGUGCCCUUGAUACUGAUGGGCUUGAAUGAACUAGAGGUAGGCGGAAUGUGACAAGUAGCGGUGAAACGCAUAGAUAUGUCACAGAACACCAAUUGCGAAGGCAGCUUACUAUGGUUUUAUUGACACUGAGGCACGAAAGCGUGGGGAUCAAACAGGAUUAGAUACCCGCGUAGUCCCUGUCUCUUAUAC
Molecule: ribosomal RNA, 301 nt
Filed under: uncultured bacterium
Lineage: Bacteria
Description: partial 16S ribosomal RNA
Rfam family: Bacterial small subunit ribosomal RNA
Source: RNAcentral